AGCGAACGCUGGCGGCAGGCUUAACACAUGCAAGUCGAGCGGGCACUUCGGUGUCAGCGGCAGACGGGUGAGUAACACGUGGGAACGUACCCUUCGGUUCGGAAUAACGCUGGGAAACUAGCGCUAAUACCGGAUACGCCCUUUUGGGGAAAGGUUUACUGCCGAAGGAUCGGCCCGCGUCUGAUUAGCUAGUUGGUGGGGUAAUGGCCUACCAAGGCGACGAUCAGUAGCUGGUCUGAGAGGAUGAUCAGCCACACUGGGACUGAGACACGGCCCAGACUCCUACGGGAGGCAGCAGUGGGGAAUAUUGGACAAUGGGCGCAAGCCUGAUCCAGCCAUGCCGCGUGAGUGAUGAAGGCCUUAGGGUUGUAAAGCUCCUUUGUCCGGGACGAUAAUGACGGUACCGGAAGAAUAAGCCCCGGCUAACUUCGUG
Molecule: ribosomal RNA, 433 nt
Filed under: uncultured bacterium
Lineage: Bacteria
Description: partial 16S ribosomal RNA
Rfam family: Bacterial small subunit ribosomal RNA
Source: RNAcentral